AUGCAGGGCUGGGCUGAUGGAGCCCGCCGCCAUGUGCCGCCGACCCGGCGGAGCCGCACACCUGCACCGCCGCUGGCACCAGUGGCCCUUCCAUUCCUCAGCAGUCUCCCGGCCCUGCGCCCCGACCCGCGCCCUACAGGCCGCGGCCUCCUCUCUCCCUCAGGCCCCCACCACAGCAAGGCCGAGCCGCCCCAGCCGGAGCCAGCGGCCACUCGGCCCCGCCACCAGCGCAACGCAGCGGGACAGGGCCCAGCCACCUUCCCGGAGCCGCGGAGGCACCUGAUGGCAGCAAGCAUGACACAGCCAGACUCACCGCGCGUCCUACAAAAUGGCGUACCAAGACGAAAGGAAAGAGGCGGGGCCGCGGCCGCGCUUAACAGCGGGGCCUUGGCGGAGCUGCCCGAGCCGCGCCUGAGAGAAACGCCGGGGAGGCACUUGCUGCCUGACUGCGUGUGGUCCGGCCGCUGCAGGCCGUCCGGGGCCGCGGAUCUUGACGGGCAAGGAUGGAAACACAUCCUCAAGACUGGGGUGAAUGCGAGUGGCAGCGCCCAUCUUAACGUGAAGAUCUAAAACCCCAUGAAGGUCCCAGGUAGGUGCUCCACCCAUUAAUGUGCUCUGGAAAUCUACUACACCAUGGUAGACUGUGUUUUCCUCCCACUCUCUCUGGCUUGUAGGUAGGGCAAGACAGGGAAAGCAGCUUCUGUGAGAGCCAAUUCAAAAGUUGCUGGGGAAAGGAGCUUGAAAGGGAGGGCUCAUUAGAAGUCAGAGGAGUGGGGGCUAGAUAAACAUCACUUUGUUUUUCAGAGUGGAAAGUACCAUGCCAAAAAAAUAAAUAAACCCCAAACAUUUCCUGUCCCUAGGCUCCCACAGUCAGGAUUCUGGUAUCUUCUCUGGGAGAGUCCCAUUUUUUUUCUGACACUUCUCUGCAGCAUCUGGCCAACAGCUCUCUCUAAAGAAUAAACAUGCUGUGAUGAUUCUGCACAUGGGGUUGUCAGGAAUCCUUCACUGAAAUUUUAAUGCACAGUGGGAUCUGGCUCACUUCUAUGCUCAGAGGACCAAGUGAUACACAGAGAGAUCUGGAGUGUGACAUUCCAUUUGUGUUAGGUUAUUCAGCAGGGGUGUGGAAGGAAUUCAAAUUAAUGAGAGUUUGUAAAGGGCUCUGAGGUGAAAAAUGAAAAAUAUUCCCCUUCACUAGGGUGUAGGUCUCCUGUGUCUAACACGAUGCAUUCAGUGCACGAAGAAAGAUAGCUAAUUAGGACUGGAGCAAAAAUUUAACAGAAAUAACUGAGAAUAGGUAUUAAAUGAAGAGGAUUGAAAUCUGCAGUUCCUCUUGUGAUAACACUGCAAAACGAAGAGUCUAAAUUAAAAAUCAAGAUUGUGAAGUUAAUUGGCUACCCCAUCCCAUGGCAGAUCAGAAAGUUACUGACCAUAGCCAUCUGUGUCACCUCUUGAGUUGACCCUUUUGUUCUGCUCUUUGCUCUUUCCAAAGGAAUUGAGUUAUGUGGCAUCUCAAAGUCAUGCUUCUGCUCCCUUUCAUAAACUCUUUAGCUCCCUGAUGAUUCUAACAACUUUUUAUUUCUGAUUGUCCAACUCCUCAUCCACAAAACCCACUCUGUAAAUAUAAGCCUGAGCCUAGUUUCAUGGGAAUUAAAAUCAAUAAAAUUUGAGUCUAAGCAGCAAUUCACCUUCCAAAAAUGGCUGUACAGACAAACUCCUUAAAUGGGUCCGCUGUGGAAUCGCAGAGGUGCCUCUACAAGUGGCUGUACUGAGCUGCAUUGCCAGUGAGGCAUUCCAUGGAGAGAGGAAUGGGAAAUUCCUUUCUCAAAGACACAGCAUGUCUUUGAGAGAAAUACAAAGGCAAAAAGUAUAUAGACCAAGAACUGUGAUGGGGCCCACCACGUCACCCAUGGGGGUUAGUUUUUGUUACACAGGGGUCACAUAUAUAUUAAAAUGUUACUAGAUGCAGGUAGAUUGAUACUGAAGCCGAACAAAUGUCCUUUUUUUCCAUCAUUAUCUUUACUGCCACAGAAAAUCUGAAAUAUGAACAAGUUCUGUCAUUCAGCUGCAUAUUUGAGUAACACGGCAUUCUACUUGUAUAUGUAUGUCAGUGAAUACGGCAUUACUGACCAUGCAGAAGUCAUCACCAUCUUCCAAGUACUCUGUUGUGAAACUGACCAGCUUCUCAUGGGUACCAAAUAAUACAAUCAAUUUAUCAAACUUCAUUUUAAAACCAGUUAACGUUCCUUUCUUACCUUACUAAUGGAGUGGCUUCUCAGGAAGCUGGUUUCCCCAAUGCAGCAUUUUCUCAAACUACUUGUGGUAACACUUUUUUGAGGUCACCUGUCCCUGUGUAACCUCCCCUGAGUCCAACCCAUUGAGCUGUGUACAAGCAACUCCUCACCUUGUCAGCAUCAGCUCACUGUUUCUUUAGCUGUUUUCACUGCAUGCGAUUAGCCACAUUGGCUGACACAGCUGGUAAUUACAGACGCCUUUUGCUCCUUUGUCAUGGCGGAACUGAGCUACUAUGAGCAGUAAAUCUGCAUAAGAUGGGGAUUUUUGUGGGGUUUUUCUUUUGAUAACACUGUGAGUACAAGUACAGAAUUAGCAUUAAAGUAUAUUUUUAAAAAUCUUAUUUUUCACAAUCCCCCUUUAGCUUUUUGCUAGCCCUCUUGGGAGCUAUUCGCUACAGCUGAAGAAAUACCUGGCUUAAUGAUUAGGUACAUAGUGCUAUUUUCUCUUUAUUUGUUCAUGUCUAAUUUUACAUGUACUUCUAGCUGGAAGAACAACAAUGCGUGCCCUUUUUCUGUGAUUAUUUACACAGAAGAAUAUCCCCUUUGCACCUUCUGUCAUGGGUUCAGCAGCAGCAGUCAGUUUUUUCUCCUUCAUAGUAGCUGAUGCAGUGCUGUGUUUUUGACUUUCGGUCUGGGAACAGCGCUGAUAACACCGAUGUUUAUAGUUACGGCUUAGAAUGUUUUGAUUUGACCAAGGACCUUCUGAGUCUCAUGCUCUGCCAGGGAGGCGGGGAAGCCGGGGGGAAGCAGAGACAGGAUACCUGAUCCAAACUGACCAAAGAGGUUAUUCCAUGCCACAGCACGUCAUGCCCAGGAUGUAAAAAAAACUGAGGGCCGGAACCCGGGAGAGUUUUUGUUUUAGUUCACAGCUUGGUCGUCGGGUGGUGAGCAGUUCUAUCCUCUUCCCUUGUAUUUCUCUUGUUAUUAUUAUUAUUGGUGGAGGCGGCAGUGGUUUGUGUUGUACCUUGAUUGCUGGGCUGUUCUUGUCUCGACCCAUGGGAGUUGCGUUCUUUCGAUUCUUCUUCCCAUUCCUCCCCCCCCGCCCCCCGCCUUGUAGUGGGGGGGAAGAAAAACUCUUCCCUUGUAUUUUUCUCUUGUCAUUAUUAUUAUUGAUGGUAGCAGUGGUGGUUUGUGUUACACCUUAGUUGCUGGACUGUUCUUAUCUCAACCUGUGGGAGUUGCAUUCUUUCGAUUCUCCUUCCCAUCCCUCCAGGAGCGGAGGGAAGAAAGAGGGGGAAGUGAGUGAGUGAGCAAAACUGUGCGUGGCUGAGAAGCUUAAACCACGACACCUUCAUUUUACUAAACUAAAUAAUCCAGGCUCUUGGAGCCUCCAGACACAUGGCAGGCUCUGUGCGUUUGCUCCCAUUUUCACACAUCUCUCUUGGGUAUCAGUGACCAGAUUUGUACCCAGUAGCCCCCGUUAGCUUACUUAAUGUGCACCCAUUAUUUCUGAGAUGCUUCCUGUUAUUACUGAAAGUAUCACAAUCCACAAAACAUAAAGCUUCUGGGGUUGAUAUUUUGUUUGUUUUUUUUUUUCUUUUUGCUGGCUGUAGAUGUUUCAGUGCUUGUCCUUUACCUGCUAGCCAGGAACUAGGAGACAACUUUUUAAUCUUACACAGUCAGCAAUGGCAGGCCUCAGUGAUUUUGUUGGCACAAGGUCAGUUCUCACAUAUUGAUGAUUUUGCUCAGGUAAAACUUGAAGUGUCUUUAAAGAACUUUUGUCUAUAAGGAACAAACAGGACAGAACUGGCCUUUAAUCACUUCAAAAUAGAUUGGCCAAACCGAAACAAAUACACUCUAAGAAAAGCUGCAGGCUGGCAAGGGCCAGAUUUAGUUGACUUUUUCCUCAUCUGAUUUCAUGAGAUGGUUGAGUUCGAGAUCCUCAGGACAGUGAGAAGAGCGUGCACCAAGCUCACUGCCCUGGACUUAAAGAGAGCAGGCUUUGGCCUCUUCAGGAAAUUGCUUAGUAAGGUUCCAUGGGAUACAGCACUAGAGGGCAGGGGGGCCCAAGGCUGUUGGUUGAUAUUCAAGGAUCACCUCCUACAAGCUCAGGAGUGUUGCGUCCCAACUAGAACGAAGUGCUGCAGGAGGGCCAGGAGACCUCCUUGGAUGGAUGAGGAGCUGCUGAGGAAACUUCAAGGGAAAAAAGAAGCUUAUAAAAGGCAGAAGCAAGCACAGGCAGCCUGGGAAGAAUACAGGGAUGUUGUCCGGGAAGCUAGGGACCAGGUUAGGAAAGCUAAGGCCCAGUCAGAAUUAGACUUGGCUAGGGAUGUGAAAGGUAACAGAAAG
Molecule: long non-coding RNA, 4580 nt
Organism: Amazona collaria (yellow-billed parrot)
Lineage: Eukaryota; Metazoa; Chordata; Aves; Psittaciformes; Psittacidae
Source: Ensembl